GAUUAACGCUAGCGGCAGGCCUAAUACAUGCAAGUUGAACGGCAGCACAGGUAGCAAUACUGGGUGGCGAGUGGCGCACGGGUGCGUAACACGUAUGCAACCUACCCUAUACAGGCGAAUAACCUUUAGAAAUGAGGGCUAUUAUGCCGUAGUAUUACAGAUGGGCAUCUAUUUGUAAUUAAAGAUUUAUCGGUAUAGGAUGGGCAUGCGUCCCAUUAGUUCGUUGGUAAGGUAACGGCUUACCAAGUCGAUGAUGGGUAGGGGAUCUGAGAGGACUUACCCCCACACUGGUACUGCGACACGGACCAGACUCCUACGGGGGGCAGCAGUAAGGAAUAUUGGGCGAUGGCGGCGAGGCUGACCCAGCCAUGCCGCGUGCAGGAAGACGGCCUUAUGGGUUGUAAACUGCUUGUAUACGGGAAUAAUAGAGUGUACGCGUACAUUUAUGCAAGUAUCGUAUGAAUAAGCAUCGGCUAACUCCGUG
This 484-nucleotide ribosomal RNA is filed under the name uncultured bacterium. Its description in RNAcentral is "partial 16S ribosomal RNA". It matches the Rfam family "Bacterial small subunit ribosomal RNA", at positions 28 to 507 of the family's 1533-position model. The record is from RNAcentral.